Molecule: ribosomal RNA, 75 nt
Filed under: Blautia sp. An81
Lineage: Bacteria; Bacillati; Bacillota; Clostridia; Lachnospirales; Lachnospiraceae
Description: partial 23S ribosomal RNA
Source: RNAcentral
GGCCAAGCAAAAAAGAGCACAGGGCGGAUGCCUUGGCACCAAGAGCCGAUGAAAGACGUGAUAAGCUGCGAUAAG